CUCUUAUCGAGAGAGGCGGAGGGACUGGCCCGAUGAAGCCCGGCAACCGAUAGUAUUAAUCGAUACUAUGUCGGUGCCAAAUCCUGCAGUAAAGAGAUGAUUCUUUUUACUGAAAGAUGAGGG
Molecule: non-coding RNA, 123 nt
Filed under: Acetohalobium arabaticum
Lineage: Bacteria; Bacillati; Bacillota; Clostridia; Halanaerobiales; Halobacteroidaceae
Also listed under: 1 other name
Description: SAM-I sequence
Rfam family: SAM riboswitch aptamer (S box leader)
About the family: The SAM riboswitch is found upstream of a number of genes which code for proteins involved in methionine or cysteine biosynthesis in Gram-positive bacteria. The SAM riboswitch acts at the level of transcription termination control.
Source: RNAcentral